AUGCGAUAAGUAGUGUGAAUUGCAGAAUUCAGUGAAUCAUCGAAUCUUUGAACGCACAUUGCGCCCUUUGGUAUUCCAUUGGGCAUGCCUGUUCGAGCGUCAUUUCAAACCUCAAGCACUGCUUGGUGUUGGGCGUCUGUCCCGCCGCUUCGCGCGUGGACUCGCCUCAAAGCCAUUGGCGGCCGGCAUCCUCGACAUUCCGCACGCAGCAGACCGCGCGAAAGGAAUUCCAGGAGCCUGGCGUCCAGAAGCUCUCCCCCAAGUUUGACCUCGGAUCAGGUAGGGAUACCCGCUGAACUUAA
Molecule: unclassified non-coding RNA, 302 nt
Filed under: uncultured Pleosporales
Lineage: Eukaryota; Fungi; Ascomycota; Dothideomycetes; Pleosporales
Description: partial contains 5.8S ribosomal RNA, internal transcribed spacer 2, and large subunit ribosomal RNA
Rfam family: 5.8S ribosomal RNA (bases 1-102)
Source: RNAcentral